RNAcentral lists this ribosomal RNA (250 nucleotides) under uncultured bacterium. Its description in RNAcentral is "partial small subunit ribosomal RNA". It matches the Rfam family "Bacterial small subunit ribosomal RNA", at positions 26 to 287 of the family's 1533-position model. The record is from RNAcentral.
AGGACGAACGCUGGCGGCGUGCUUAACACAUGCAAGUCACGGGGGCUCGCAAGAGCAACCGGCGAACGGGUGCGUAACGCGUGAGCAACCUACCGAUUUGUGGGGGAUAGCCGGCCCAACGGCCGGGUAAUACCGCAUACGCUUGUCUGGUCUCCUGACCGGACAAGGAAACCUCCGGGGCAAAUCGAGGGGCUCGCGGCCUAUCAGCUAGUUGGCGAGGUCACGGCUCACCAAGGCGACGACGGGUAGC